GGCUUUGUAGCUUAGCUGGUAGAGCGCUUGCCACGUUGAGUCAUCGCUGGUUCGAAUUCAGCCGAAGCCU
This is a non-coding RNA of Paragonimus skrjabini miyazakii, 70 nucleotides long. The record is from the annotation of a GenBank genome assembly. Lineage: Eukaryota; Metazoa; Platyhelminthes; Trematoda; Plagiorchiida; Troglotrematidae.